RNAcentral lists this ribosomal RNA (256 nucleotides) under uncultured bacterium. RNAcentral describes it as "partial 16S ribosomal RNA". It matches the Rfam family "Bacterial small subunit ribosomal RNA", at positions 524 to 776 of the family's 1533-position model. The record is from RNAcentral.
UACGUAGGGGGGCAAGCGUUGUCCGGAAUCAUUGGGCGUAAAGCGCGUGUAGGCGGUCCGAUUAGUCGGCUGUGAAAGUCAAGGGCUCAACCCUUGAAUGCCGGUCGAUACUGUCGGACUAGAGUCCGGAAGAGGCAAGUGGAAUUCCCGGUGUAGCGGUGAAAUGCGCAGAUAUCAGGAAGAACACCCGUGGCUAAGGCGGCUCUCUAGUACGGUACUGACGCUGAGACGCGAAAAGCGUGGGGGAGCGAACAGG